RNAcentral lists this ribosomal RNA (305 nucleotides) under uncultured bacterium. Its description in RNAcentral is "bacterial SSU rRNA". It matches the Rfam family "Bacterial small subunit ribosomal RNA", at positions 335 to 643 of the family's 1533-position model. The record is from RNAcentral.
UGCCUACGGGGCGCAGCAGUGGGGAAUAUUGCACAAUGGGGGAAACCCUGAUGCAGUGACGCCGCGUGAGUGAAGAAGUAUCUCGGUACGUAAAGCUCUAUCAGCAGGGAAGAAAAAAAGUCUUUGGCUUUGGACGGUACCUGACUAAGAAGCCCCGGCUAACUACGUGCCAGCAGCCGCGGUAAUACGUAUGGAGCAAGCGUUAUCCGGAUUUACUGGGUGUAAAGGGAGCGCAGACGGCAAGGCAAGUCUGAUGUGAAAGUCCGAGGCUCAACCUCGGGACUGCAUUGGAAACUGUCUGGCUA